This 253-nucleotide ribosomal RNA is filed under the name uncultured bacterium. RNAcentral describes it as "partial 16S ribosomal RNA". It matches the Rfam family "Bacterial small subunit ribosomal RNA", at positions 524 to 776 of the family's 1533-position model. The record is from RNAcentral.
UACGUAGGUGGCAAGCGUUAUCCGGAUUUACUGGGUGUAAAGGGCGUGUAGGCGGGACUGCAAGUCAGAUGUGAAAACCACGGGCUCAACCUGUGGCCUGCAUUUGAAACUGUAGUUCUUGAGUACUGGAGAGGCAGACGGAAUUCCUAGUGUAGCGGUGAAAUGCGUAGAUAUUAGGAGGAACACCAGUGGCGAAGGCGGUCUGCUGGACAGCAACUGACGCUGAGGCGCGAAAGCGUGGGGAGCAAGCAGG